Long non-coding RNA from Labeo rohita (rohu), 1483 nucleotides. RefSeq lists it as uncharacterized. Lineage: Eukaryota; Metazoa; Chordata; Actinopteri; Cypriniformes; Cyprinidae. The transcript has 4 exons. The record is from RefSeq and is a predicted model, not a curated record.
GCAAGAAUUGUAGUACAGUUGCGUAAAGGGAAACACAUUCAGAGGGGAACGAAAUCGGCUGCUUCACCUAAAGUGUCGCUGCGAGAUGCUGAUGCCGCAAUUUGCGCCAGCCCUCUCUCGUAAAAUGGCUUUAUGAUCGUUAACGUAAUUAUCAACCAGAGAAAAUAGUGUCGUGGAUUAUGGCAAAGGUAUUCAUCUAAUAUUAGUAACGUUAACUGGGUUUCUUCAUAUUUUUCUUCCCUGCUGUGUGUGUAAAUGUGUGUGUGUGUGUGUGAUACCGAGCAGCUGUUGUCUGAACUUAAAAAAAAAAUGACAAAUCGAUAAAGCCUUGUGCUACAGCUACAGCUACAGCCACUGACGUUUAAGGAAGUGUGAGGCUAAGCACCCCUAGCUUGCUUGAUUGUUAAAGGUAAUGUUGUCCUUCUCAUUUUUAUUGUAUUUUCAAGUGUCCAGUCGUCAACAAAUUUGUUGUGAGCAGUUUAAUGUAGGAACUGUUUUCUUUCUACAGAUAGUUUCUAACUUACACGAAACUGCUCAGAGUAAGGUAAAUGGUAAAUGUAUUAUCUUAACUGGGUCAUGAUUACUGGAAAAAGACAUUACUGUAGAGUGAGAAUGUUUCUGACUAUGAUACUAAUGAUGUAUUCAUUUCAUUUAAAGGAUCUAAAUGUAAACUAAAAGAUUGCCUCACUGCCUGAAGUCAACAUAAAUGAUUCAAACCUGCUAUUACUUCUGAACUGAAUCAUUUGAUCUUGAAAAAAGUUUUAAAAGCCCUAUAUUUGCAACUACUACUACUACUACUUGGUUUUAAAAUAAAUAAUUAUCUAUUAUGAAAAUGACAGAUUUGUAGUAUCGAAACUGUUACGUGAUUAGUUAUGUCAAAUAUUAUUUUAGUGUAUUAUUUUAAUUAUGAACACACUGGUUUGUAGUGCAAACAGUUUUACCAUUCACUUGUUUUUCUUUGUUAUCUUCCUACAGCUGCUAAUGAACCAGACAUCUCGCACAUUCACAGAAAAUGGCUUACGUCCGCAUUGAAAAAUAAGGUGACAACACUGAAGAUGAGGGCAUGGAUGUUGUCACUGGAGGGUCAAUUUGAAGCUAAACAAGGAAUGUUUGGAUGUGACGGGAUUUUGUGAGCUGCGCAGGACUACAGCAGCCAAGUGGUGACGACCCCCAUUCUCCCCCUCAAAUAAGUGGUGUGUUGCAGAUUAAACUUUUGUGUCUGUGCUGGUGACCAAAGAGGAAGCUGUUUUUAAAAGGAUGCUCCAUCCUCUGCAAACAGUACAUAUAAAAUGAGGUACACUGUUGUGUUCAAAUGCUGUGCCUGAAUAAAUCACACACCUCUACUUUUGACUCCAUGUCUGUGAUGGAAAUGUUUUUAAGCUGCUGUUAUUUAAAUGGUUAGGGUUAAUAUCACCUUGUUCUCUCACCUUUUUGCUCUGUACUGCAACAGAAGUGACCCACUGAAGGUGGUGACAGGAACUGG